Molecule: RNA transcript, 1560 nt
Organism: Belonocnema kinseyi
Lineage: Eukaryota; Metazoa; Arthropoda; Insecta; Hymenoptera; Cynipidae
Gene name: tropomyosin-2-like
Exons: 7
Source: RefSeq, a predicted model, not a curated record
CAUCGCUUCGACGAAAGUGAGUGUCCUCUUUUGCACAUUUUACUCAGCGAUUACGACUUGUAAACAUCCUGUUUAAGUUCCUCUGGCGGAGCACAAACCCCGAUUUUCGUGACACCCUCGAUUCGAGGGGCGUCCUUCGGCAAAUUCUGCGAGAAGAACUAUUUGAUAAAUCGACAGCAUGGAGGCGAUUAAGAAAAGAAUUGCAGCAUUGAAAAUGGAGAUGGACCGUGCUAAUGAAACGGUAGAUACAAAUGAAGCGAAGGCCCGUCAGGAAAAUUUACGAGCUGAUUUGCUAUUUGAAGAAGUGCGUGAUUUAGAAAGAAAACAUGCUCAGAUGGAACGAGAUUUUGAAGAAACCAAGGCCAACCUUGAAACUCGUUCAGCAGAAUUAGAAAGAUGUGAGAAAGCUUUUGCAAAAGCGGAACAAGACCGAACUUCCAUGACGAAAAGAGUUCAGGAGAUCGAGGAGCAACUUCAGAAAAAGGAAGAAAUGCGUGGAAUAGCUACAAUUAAAUUUGUACGAGCAUCUGAACUCGCCGAUGACGCGAAAAGAAUGUGUAAAGUGCUGGAAGAAAGGAGUAAGCAGGACGAAGAGAGAACGGAAAAACUGUCAAAUGAGCUGAAAGAUGCAAGAUUAAUUGCCGAGGACGCCGACUCAAAAUCUGAAGAAAUUUCGAGGAAGCUGCAGUUUGUUGAAGAAGAACUAGAAGCUGCGGAGGAGAGAGUGAAGACUAGUGAAGCGUCAGUAUUUGUUUUACGGUGUCCAAAGUAUGGGCUAAAAUUAAACUCACAAUCAGGAAGCAGUCCCUGCAUAAGAAAAUUAUUGAACGAGAGGAUGAGCUCUUCAUUGUGCAAAAUAUUGUCAAGUCUUUGGAAGUCUCAGAAGAAAAAGCUAACCGCCGAGUGGAGGAAUUCAAGCAGGAAUUGAAGGAUACGAAACUACAGUUUAAGAUGACAGAAAAGCGAGCUAUACAUGCUGAGAGGACAGUGAAGGCGCUUAUGAGAGAGGUGGACAGAAAAGAAGACGAACUGAGAGAAGAAAAGGAAAAGUACAGGGCGAUGUGCGACGAUCUGGACUUGACCUACGCUGAAAUGACGGGAUUCUAGUGCACAGCAAACUUAAGAUUACUAACUUUUUUACUCUUGCGCUUCUCUUGCGUUCGCUAUUCAAAAUGAAAAUGCUUAUCGCUUUCUUUCGAUACGCUGCUUUCAUGUUUUCUGCUGCGAUAAACUACAAUAGGCACAAAUUUGCUAUAAGAUCAAAGCUUCUAGAGCUUUUGGAUGCUUUGUUUAAGAAUUAGGAGUGCAUCGCGUUUGAUUAUUUUAUUGUUAGCAAUCAUUAUCGCUUCGCUUCAUAUGCUGUUCAGCCAAGAUCAAUUGUCUAUGAAUGAAGGUCAGUUGUUGGUCUGACGAUUUCGUUUAUUUUUCAGGAACAAUCGUGGAAGUCUUGAUACACCAAUCUCGCCCUUAAGGUAUAUAUCAUAUUUUCCUAAAUCUCGUUAGGUUUUUAAUGCUGUACGUAAAUCUGUAUUUUCAAUAAAUACCAUUCAAGAAUCUGAA